Non-coding RNA from Sphingobacterium sp., 93 nucleotides. The record is from Rfam. Lineage: Bacteria; Pseudomonadati; Bacteroidota; Sphingobacteriia; Sphingobacteriales; Sphingobacteriaceae.
AUAUGGCUUUGGGGGUAUUCUGUAUAGAAUUGAGAUAGUCCCUUCGAACCUGAUUCGGUUUAUACCGGCGUAGGGAAAAGCAACCGCUUAGGU